AUACGGAGGAUCCGAGCGUUAUCCGGAUUUAUUGGGUUUAAAGGGAGCGUAGGCGGACGCUUAAGUCAGUUGUGAAAGUUUGCGGCUCAACCGUAAAAUUGCAGUUGAUACUGGGUGUCUUGAGUACAGUAGAGGCAGGCGGAAUUCGUGGUGUAGCGGUGAAAUGCUUAGAUAUCACGAAGAACUCCGAUUGCGAAGGCAGCCUGCUGGACUGUAACUGACGCUGAUGCUCGAAAGUGUGGGUAUCAAACAGGAGUAGAUACCCUGGUAGUCCACACAGUAAACGAUGAAUACUCGCUGUUUGCGAUAUACAGUAAGCGGCCAAGCGAAAGCGUUAAGUAUUCCACCUGGGGAGUACGCCGGCAACGGUGAAACUCAAAUGAAUUGACGGGG
Molecule: ribosomal RNA, 393 nt
Filed under: uncultured bacterium
Lineage: Bacteria
Description: partial 16S ribosomal RNA
Rfam family: Bacterial small subunit ribosomal RNA
Source: RNAcentral